This is a long non-coding RNA of Biomphalaria glabrata, 355 nucleotides long. RefSeq lists it as uncharacterized. The transcript has 3 exons. NCBI's taxonomy places the organism in Eukaryota, Metazoa, Mollusca, Gastropoda, Planorbidae. The record is from RefSeq and is a predicted model, not a curated record.
GUCGUAUUUUGGGCAUCACUGGUUUGUAAUAUUAUAGGGAAUUUCCUCAAGCAUCAAUUCUCAAUGUCCAAUUACGUGGAUGGGAGUGUCUCCUAAAAUAGCGCUUCACAGUCAAGUUUAAAAGUGUUCUAGGAAACGAAUCACAUCCGUGAAGACUGAAAGAAGCCAACAACAUUUAGGUGUAAGUUCAAAUAGUUUAGGAAGAUGUUGAGACUGUAGGGAUGUGAAUAAGUUUUAAAUAACAACCGUAGAGACCCAAGUUUUCGUCAAGUCACCUGUGGACUUAAUGUUUGUCUAAAGGAUCAGACUUACCUAGCAGACUCCUCUAGUCUCUGUGAUGAGAAUCCAGAUACAG